RNAcentral lists this ribosomal RNA (2925 nucleotides) under Staphylococcus aureus. RNAcentral describes it as "bacterial LSU rRNA". It matches the Rfam family "Bacterial large subunit ribosomal RNA". Lineage: Bacteria; Bacillati; Bacillota; Bacilli; Caryophanales; Staphylococcaceae. The record is from RNAcentral.
UAGAUUAAGUUAUUAAGGGCGCACGGUGGAUGCCUUGGCACUAGAAGCCGAUGAAGGACGUUACUAACGACGAUAUGCUUUGGGGAGCUGUAAGUAAGCUUUGAUCCAGAGAUUUCCGAAUGGGGAAACCCAGCAUGAGUUAUGUCAUGUUAUCGAUAUGUGAAUACAUAGCAUAUCAGAAGGCACACCCGGAGAACUGAAACAUCUUAGUACCCGGAGGAAGAGAAAGAAAAUUCGAUUCCCUUAGUAGCGGCGAGCGAAACGGGAAGAGCCCAAACCAACAAGCUUGCUUGUUGGGGUUGUAGGACACUCUAUACGGAGUUACAAAGGACGACAUUAGACGAAUCAUCUGGAAAGAUGAAUCAAAGAAGGUAAUAAUCCUGUAGUCGAAAAUGUUGUCUCUCUUGAGUGGAUCCUGAGUACGACGGAGCACGUGAAAUUCCGUCGGAAUCUGGGAGGACCAUCUCCUAAGGCUAAAUACUCUCUAGUGACCGAUAGUGAACCAGUACCGUGAGGGAAAGGUGAAAAGCACCCCGGAAGGGGAGUGAAAUAGAACCUGAAACCGUGUGCUUACAAGUAGUCAGAGCCCGUUAAUGGGUGAUGGCGUGCCUUUUGUAGAAUGAACCGGCGAGUUACGAUUUGAUGCAAGGUUAAGCAGUAAAUGUGGAGCCGUAGCGAAAGCGAGUCUGAAUAGGGCGUUUAGUAUUUGGUCGUAGACCCGAAACCAGGUGAUCUACCCUUGGUCAGGUUGAAGUUCAGGUAACACUGAAUGGAGGACCGAACCGACUUACGUUGAAAAGUGAGCGGAUGAACUGAGGGUAGCGGAGAAAUUCCAAUCGAACCUGGAGAUAGCUGGUUCUCUCCGAAAUAGCUUUAGGGCUAGCCUCAAGUGAUGAUUAUUGGAGGUAGAGCACUGUUUGGACGAGGGGCCCCUCUCGGGUUACCGAAUUCAGACAAACUCCGAAUGCCAAUUAAUUUAACUUGGGAGUCAGAACAUGGGUGAUAAGGUCCGUGUUCGAAAGGGAAACAGCCCAGACCACCAGCUAAGGUCCCAAAAUAUAUGUUAAGUGGAAAAGGAUGUGGCGUUGCCCAGACAACUAGGAUGUUGGCUUAGAAGCAGCCAUCAUUUAAAGAGUGCGUAAUAGCUCACUAGUCGAGUGACACUGCGCCGAAAAUGUACCGGGGCUAAACAUAUUACCGAAGCUGUGGAUUGUCCUUUGGACAAUGGUAGGAGAGCGUUCUAAGGGCGUUGAAGCAUGAUCGUAAGGACAUGUGGAGCGCUUAGAAGUGAGAAUGCCGGUGUGAGUAGCGAAAGACGGGUGAGAAUCCCGUCCACCGAUUGACUAAGGUUUCCAGAGGAAGGCUCGUCCGCUCUGGGUUAGUCGGGUCCUAAGCUGAGGCCGACAGGCGUAGGCGAUGGAUAACAGGUUGAUAUUCCUGUACCACCUAUAAUCGUUUUAAUCGAUGGGGGGACGCAGUAGGAUAGGCGAAGCGUGCGAUUGGAUUGCACGUCUAAGCAGUAAGGCUGAGUAUUAGGCAAAUCCGGUACUCGUUAAGGCUGAGCUGUGAUGGGGAGAAGACAUUGUGUCUUCGAGUCGUUGAUUUCACACUGCCGAGAAAAGCCUCUAGAUAGAAAAUAGGUGCCCGUACCGCAAACCGACACAGGUAGUCAAGAUGAGAAUUCUAAGGUGAGCGAGCGAACUCUCGUUAAGGAACUCGGCAAAAUGACCCCGUAACUUCGGGAGAAGGGGUGCUCUUUAGGGUUAACGCCCAGAAGAGCCGCAGUGAAUAGGCCCAAGCGACUGUUUAUCAAAAACACAGGUCUCUGCUAAACCGUAAGGUGAUGUAUAGGGGCUGACGCCUGCCCGGUGCUGGAAGGUUAAGAGGAGUGGUUAGCUUCUGCGAAGCUACGAAUCGAAGCCCCAGUAAACGGCGGCCGUAACUAUAACGGUCCUAAGGUAGCGAAAUUCCUUGUCGGGUAAGUUCCGACCCGCACGAAAGGCGUAACGAUUUGGGCACUGUCUCAACGAGAGACUCGGUGAAAUCAUAGUACCUGUGAAGAUGCAGGUUACCCGCGACAGGACGGAAAGACCCCGUGGAGCUUUACUGUAGCCUGAUAUUGAAAUUCGGCACAGCUUGUACAGGAUAGGUAGGAGCCUUUGAAACGUGAGCGCUAGCUUACGUGGAGGCGCUGGUGGGAUACUACCCUAGCUGUGUUGGCUUUCUAACCCGCACCACUUAUCGUGGUGGGAGACAGUGUCAGGCGGGCAGUUUGACUGGGGCGGUCGCCUCCUAAAAGGUAACGGAGGCGCUCAAAGGUUCCCUCAGAAUGGUUGGAAAUCAUUCAUAGAGUGUAAAGGCAUAAGGGAGCUUGACUGCGAGACCUACAAGUCGAGCAGGGUCGAAAGACGGACUUAGUGAUCCGGUGGUUCCGCAUGGAAGGGCCAUCGCUCAACGGAUAAAAGCUACCCCGGGGAUAACAGGCUUAUCUCCCCCAAGAGUUCACAUCGACGGGGAGGUUUGGCACCUCGAUGUCGGCUCAUCGCAUCCUGGGGCUGUAGUCGGUCCCAAGGGUUGGGCUGUUCGCCCAUUAAAGCGGUACGCGAGCUGGGUUCAGAACGUCGUGAGACAGUUCGGUCCCUAUCCGUCGUGGGCGUAGGAAAUUUGAGAGGAGCUGUCCUUAGUACGAGAGGACCGGGAUGGACAUACCUCUGGUGUACCAGUUGUCGUGCCAACGGCAUAGCUGGGUAGCUAUGUGUGGACGGGAUAAGUGCUGAAAGCAUCUAAGCAUGAAGCCCCCCUCAAGAUGAGAUUUCCCAACUUCGGUUAUAAGAUCCCUCAAAGAUGAUGAGGUUAAUAGGUUCGAGGUGGAAGCAUGGUGACAUGUGGAGCUGACGAAUACUAAUCGAUCGAAGACUUAAUCAA